GACGAACGCUGGCGGCGUGCUUAACACAUGCAAGUCGAACGGAAAGGCCCUGCUUUUGUGGGGUGCUCGAGUGGCGAACGGGUGAGUAACACGUGAGUAACCUGCCCUUGACUUUGGGAUAACUUCAGGAAACUGGGGCUAAUACCGGAUAGGAGCUCCUGCUGCAUGGUGGGGGUUGGAAAGUUUCGGCGGUUGUGGAUGGACUGGAGGCUUAUCAGCUUGUUGGUGGGGUAGUGGCUUACCAAGGCUUUGACGGGUAGCCCGCCUGAGAGUGUGACCGGCCACAUGAGGCCUGAGAGAGGCCCCAGUCUCCAACGGGAGGCAGCAGGGGGGAACAUUGCGCAAUGGGCGCAAGCCUGUUGCGGCAACGCCGCGUUCGUGAUGACGUCCUUCGGGUUGUAAACCGCUGUCGCCUGUGACGAAGCGUGAGUGACGGUAAUGGGUAAAGAAGCACCGGCUAACUACGUG
This 468-nucleotide ribosomal RNA is filed under the name uncultured bacterium. Its description in RNAcentral is "partial 16S ribosomal RNA". It matches the Rfam family "Bacterial small subunit ribosomal RNA", at positions 28 to 507 of the family's 1533-position model. The record is from RNAcentral.